Molecule: long non-coding RNA, 443 nt
Organism: Poecile atricapillus (Black-capped chickadee)
Lineage: Eukaryota; Metazoa; Chordata; Aves; Passeriformes; Paridae
Exons: 4
Source: RefSeq, a predicted model, not a curated record
AUGCGGUCUUCCAUAGCGUCAGCGGCUACGGCAGGGCGGCCUUCCAGCAGCUACUCUGAAAUGCCAAGAGAGACACCAGCCCCGGCGGAGCAGGUGGUGGCCGCGGGCAGGGUCGAGAGGUGCUGCGGGGCAAAUCCGAGCACGGGAGCGCUCUGAGGCCCCAGGGAGGCCAGGGGACACUAGAGCUGUUUGUUAUGAAUCCAUGCCUGGUGUCCCCCCACAGAGCAGCACAAGGCCAGCUGUUCCUCCAGCUGUGAUUUUUGCUUUUUCUUUCUGAAGUACCAGUUCCUGCUGAGCAUCCUCCCCUCCAAGGGCAUUCCUCUCCCCCUCAGGGUGUUACUGUCAGCACCAGGAGUUAGAAUAAGCCCAUCUGGAAGCCAGCUCUGCAGACUAUUUCCAGAGCAGCAAGCAAUACUAGUGAACUAAAGACCAAGCAAUACUGG